This 447-nucleotide ribosomal RNA is filed under the name uncultured bacterium. RNAcentral's name for it is "partial 16S ribosomal RNA". It matches the Rfam family "Bacterial small subunit ribosomal RNA", at positions 329 to 793 of the family's 1533-position model. The record is from RNAcentral.
GUCCAGACUCCUACGGGAGGCAGCAGUGGGGAAUAUUGCACAAUGGGGGAAACCCUGAUGCAGCGACGCCGCGUGAGUGAAGAAGUAUUUCGGUAUGUAAAGCUCUAUCAGCAGGAAAGAAAAUGACGGUACCUGACUAAGAAGCCCCGGCUAACUACGUGCCAGUAGCCGCGGUAAUACGUAGGGGGCAAGCGUUAUCCGGAUUUACUGGGUGUAAAGGGAGCGUAGACGGUGAAGCAAGUCUGAUGUGAAAUACCGGGGCUCAACCCCGGGGCUGCAUUGGAAACUGGCAGGCUGGAGUGUCGGAGAGGCAGGCGGAAUUCCUAGUGUAGCGGUGAAAUGCGUAGAUAUUAGGAGGAACACCAGUGGCGAAGGCGGCCUGCUGGACGAUGACUGACGCUGAGGCUCGAAAGCGUGGGGAGCAAACAGGAUUAGAUACCCGAGUAG